GACGAACGCUGGCGGCGUGCUUAACACAUGCAAGUCGAACGGAAAGGCCCUGCUUUUGUGGGGUGCUCGAGUGGCGAACGGGUGAGUAACACGUGAGUAACCUGCCCUUGACUGUGGGAUAACUUCAGGAAACUGGGGCUAAUACCCGAUAUGAGCUCCUGCUGCAUGUUGGGGGUUGGAAAGUUUCGGCGGUUGGGGAUGGACUCGCGGCUUAUCAGCUGGUUGGUGGGGUAGUGGCUUACCAAGGCUUUGACGGGUAGCCGGCCUGAGAGGGUGACCGGCCACAUUGGGACUGAGAUACGGCCCAGACUCCUACGGGAGGCAGCAGUGGGGAAUAUUGCACAAUGGGCGGAAGCCUGAUGCAGCAACGCCGCGUGCGGGAUGACGGCCUUCGGGUUGUAAACCGCUUUCGCCUGUGACGAAGCGUGAGUGACGGUAAUGGGUAAAGAAGCACCGGCUAACUACGUG
Molecule: ribosomal RNA, 468 nt
Filed under: uncultured bacterium
Lineage: Bacteria
Description: partial 16S ribosomal RNA
Rfam family: Bacterial small subunit ribosomal RNA
Source: RNAcentral